UGCUCAGACUCAACCAUGGGGCCAUUUCCCCUCGCCUGCGUGAAGGUAAACUUUUACCCACCAUCGCGUCUUCUCGCCGUGACCGUGCGGAGCUGUCAUUGAUGCCAACUCGCCGCUCGCACACCUGCUUCUCUUUUUCUUUUUUCUCUUCAGUGAUAAUUGCUGCCAGUAUAGCAGGAGCGAUGCAGCAGAAACGGGGGCUGAAGUGGCGAUAGAUCCUGUUGAAUUGAGACAAGACGUCGAGACGCAGCCAAAAAGUGUCCUCCUCGGAGUGCGUCAGAGCACGGAUGUAUAUAGUGGAUGAUAUGCUCGCUGGUUGGAUACGACGAGGGAUUUGUGAUAUUACCCCCCUAAAUCAAUACCGAAAUUUGGGCAGAAGCGAAGAGCUGCAUCCUCACCUAGCCUACCUCCCCCUCAUCCUCCAGCAGAUUUAUUUGUAGGGGGGCUGAGGCGAUCUCGUUUGGCCCCUUUUCACAUCUCCAGAGAGCGUCAGCGGGGUGAAGUCCUUCACAUUCACCGGAGCUCCGAAAUAUAACAGCAAAAGAUCCAGUUUUUUUCCUCUCAUCACAUAAAAUGGCAACCAGGAGUGACCACGGAGGAUCAAAAGACGCAUUUGGGCGCAAGAAGCCGCGGUCGUGGAGGAUUUAACCACCUGAUGGGCACCGGAGACACCGAGGAGAGACUGUUUCAGUUGUAGCUUGUUGACUUGGUGAUUUAUAAUGCUGAACAAAUAAAGGGCGCUGCAAGUUUGACACAGAGCGCCUGCGUAACAGGCUAUGCCACCGGCCCUCACAUUUUUUGGUUAUGGUAAUGAUGUCAUAAAAUAUUUGGAGGCCUGUGCCUGAGCGGGAAGACAGGCUGAUCAAUAUCUCCUAUCAUGUAAGUAGCCACAUGGACUGCUCUCAGCAUGGACUUAAUUGAGGUGCGUUUGUUGCUCUGACAUUCUCAUAUUCACAACUGAUUGGUUGAUGCCUCAUUUUCUCUGUGUGCGCGCGCCGAGCUGCAACUUUUAUCCUCUGGCCUGCAUCCACGUCGCCCUGAGGCGGUUACUGUAGCGCUCACGGACCGAACCUCUCAUUGACUUAAAAUGGAGUUUGCCAUGGUGGGUGCGGACGGCGGGUGCAAUAGUCACCUGCCGUACGGAUAUGCCCAAGCUCGCGCACGGGAGAGGGAGCGCGAGAGGGAGCGCCAGGCUGCCCAUUCGAGAGCGGCGGCUGCCGCGGCCGCUGCCGAAGGUGGGUCCGGUGCGGAGGGAGGAGGAGGAGGAGGCGGCAGCGGUAGCGGUAGCGGCGGUGGUGGCAGCGGCAGCGGCAGUGGUGGCGGCGGCUGCGGCGGCGGCGUGGGGGGCUCCACCUCCACCUUCUCCUCGAGCGCUCAUCUCCUUAACAACCGCCAGCAUCAGUCUCGCGCCGCCUCCUCAGCGAACGCCAACAUCAGCAGCGGCGGUACCGCCUCGCGCCCCUCCUCCUCCUCCACCUCCUCGCAGCCGCCACAGCACCAGCAGGAGCCCGAGCAGCAGCAGCAGCAGCAGCAGCAGCAGAGAGUUGUCAGAGAGCGGAAAAAGCAGCGCGGCGUCGGACGGUGGAGACGCAACCGGACGACUCUCGGCGGGGACCUGCGCCACUCGGAGCUGGCGCUGCUCGGAUCCGAGGAGGACAUCAUGAUAGAGGAGGAAGAGGCCGAGGGAGCGGAGGAAGAGGAGGAGGAGGAGGAGGGGGACCGGGGAAGCAAGAGGUCGAGUUUUCUGUGUAACAUGGAUGAUGAGGAGGAGACCGUGUCGCUCACUGACAGGCGCCCUCAGUCCGGAUACGAAAAUGUUUACAGCGAGUGCGGCUGCUGUGAGAGAGUUGUCAUCAACGUGUCGGGACUCAAGUUUGAAACUCAGCUCAAGACUCUCACUCAGUUCCCGGACACUCUCCUGGGAGACCCCGACAAGCGAAUCAGGUACUUCGACCCGCUGAGGAACGAAUACUUCUUCGAUCGGAACCGACCGAGCUUUGACGCCAUUCUUUACUAUUACCAGUCAGGGGGGCGGUUGAAAAGACCCGUCAACGUCCCGUUUGACAUCUUCUCCGAGGAGGUGAAGUUUUAUGAACUCGGGGAAGAGGCGAUCCUCAAGUUUCGGGAAGAUGAGGGUUUUGUCAAAGAGGAGGAGAAGCCUCUCCCGGAGGACGAGUUCAAGCGCCAAAUUUGGCUGCUUUUUGAGUAUCCGGAGAGCUCGAGCCCUGCCCGGGGCAUCGCGGUCGUGUCCGUCCUUGUUAUAGUAAUUUCUAUUGUCAUUUUCUGCCUGGAGACGCUGCCAGAGUUCAGGGAUGAAAAAGAGUAUCUACAGCCACGACACAACUCCACUCAACCUGACCACGGAUUUACUCCUUUCAACGACCCGUUUUUCAUCGUGGAGACGGUUUGCAUCAUCUGGUUCUCCUUUGAGAUUAUAGUCCGCUUCUUUGCGAGUCCGAGCAAACCGGCUUUCUUUAAAAACAUUAUGAACUCAAUAGACAUUGUAUCCAUUUUGCCUUAUUUCAUAACUCUCGGCACGGACCUGGCGCAGCACCAAGGCAACGGGCAGCAGGCGAUGAGCUUUGCCAUCCUGAGAAUAAUCCGCCUUGUCAGGGUGUUUCGCAUCUUCAAGCUGUCCAGGCACUCCAAGGGGCUGCAGAUCCUGGGUCAUACCCUGCGCGCCAGCAUGAGGGAGCUGGCCCUCCUCAUAUUCUUCCUGGUCAUCGGUGUCAUCCUGUUCUCCAGCGCGGUGUACUUCGCCGAGGCGGACGAGCCCACGUCGCAGUUCACGAGCAUCCCCGACGCGUUUUGGUGGGCCGUGGUGACCAUGACGACGGUGGGCUACGGUGACAUGAAGCCCAUCACCGUGGGGGGGAAGAUAGUGGGCUCCCUGUGCGCCAUCGCGGGCGUGUUAACCAUCGCGCUCCCGGUGCCGGUCAUAGUGUCCAACUUCAACUACUUUUACCACAGGGAGACCGACAACGAGGACCAGACGCCGGUGGUGGAGAGCAUGCCCCCGGGGUGCCCGUAUUUCCCAGACUUUUUAAGGAAAUUCAAAGGCUCGCCGUCGGGCUCCUCUCUGGGUGACAAAGCGGAGUAUAUGGAGAUGGAGGAGGGGGUGACGGAGUCGCUUUGCGGGCUGGACAAGAGCCCCAGUAAAGGAAACGGCACAGACAUAGGCAGGAAAAACAGUACUAACUCCAAAUCCAUUCAGACUGACGUGUGAUUACAAGUAGAGUUUCCCUUUUUUCUUUUUUCCCUAAAGAAGAAUACACCCUAUAAAGACACUGUAUGCCUAAGAGCAGGUGGUCCCCAUGACACAAGUUUUACGCACGCCACAGAGCCCCACACACACGCACAAACACACACACUCACAGGCCACCAAUUGGCAGGUUGAAAUGUUUCAUUUGCUCCAUCUCAGACUAGUAUCUCCCACAACUUUUAGAGAAGUAAAAAUAUCAUCAAUGAGUUUAUUAAUGAAUUCGUCUAACCUGUGCGGGCUUCCAAAUCUGACAUCAAAUUUAAAGUCUACAUGACAGGCUAUGCAUUCGCACUUUAUGAGUUUCAUCUGUCAAUAACAGAGAGGAGGUGGGGACGAUGGUUUUGCUGUUAUGCAAUAAAGUUAAAAAAAAAAUUUGUUUGCACUAAUGUAGAAUUUGCGCUGGGUUCGGCUGAUUUUUAUUUCAGAGACAGAAACUGUAGGCCAUGCAAAUGGCAAUAAUUAAGUCAUCCUCUGGCCACUUAGCUGAAGAAUGUUUGAGGAACUUCCUCAAAGAGAGCAACCUAAUGAUAUUAAUAACCUCUUUCAUGCGCUGCCAGUAAAAAAAAUAAAAAUUGGAGUCCAAUAAAGGAAAAGCCUGAGACAGAUAAAAGACUUUUGUUACUGUUCCAACACUUAAUAUGAACAAAGAGCUCAUUGAUAAGACACAGCAUUUAGCAGUCAUCAAAUAAACCAGGGCUAGAAUUAUUUCUAUGACAUCUACACAAAUAUGCUUUUCCACACAAAAGCCUUGUGUUGUUGACCCACUAUGAGAGCUAAGCACAGGAAACAUCUGAGUUAAAAAAAAAAUGGCUGGAGAAAUGACUUGCCCCGCCAGGUUUUGUAUGGACAGGCUUGGAGCCUUGGCGACAACAGUCUCCCCAGUUUCAUUUAAACCACCUCAAAAUGACAAUAUCCCUUUACACGGACGCAGAUGGAAAGCUAUAGCAAAAACGACUCUGUUGUGGAAAACUCCUCGGAGGGGAGCUUGCGAGCAACUUCCUCUCCUGUCCGCUGGACUUCGUGCACAAAAUUUCUUUUUUUUCUCAAGAGGACUAUGAUUAUCUCCGAGCUCAGAGGAUCUCCGGGAUGUGGAUGUCUUCCAAGCGCUGCCAGCUACAGGGAGAGGGAGUAUCCCCCACAUCUCUGGAAAUUGCAGAGAACAAGCAAAACAUUGGGACUGGUCAUCUCGAGCACGAGCAGAGACUGAAAAAGCAACAACUGGACUCGGGACUCGGCACUUGAACAAGUGGGGAUGAGAGCUGCUGUGUGACAUCAGUAAACAAACCCUCGAGGGUUGAGACUGGAGUUGGCAAAUGAGUAAGUCGUGGCCCAAAAUGAUUGCCUUAAUUACUACACAUAUACAGAUGUAUGAAGUAAUGAAACUAAGAGACUUAUAGUUCAAAGUUUAAAGAUGUUUUCUUUACAUGUGAAAAAAAGUGUCUUGUAAGGAACAGAUGUGAAUAUUUUAAUAUGAUAGAGAUAAUGUUUGGUUGUAAUGUCGACAUAAUGUUUUAGUUGGGUCGGCUUCGUAGGUGUCAUUGGUUACUAAAUGGUGAGUUUGCUCUCUGCUUAUGUGCAGUCAGCACUACGACUUAAUCUAUUUUUAUCUUGUUUCAUAUUGUCAACCAAACAAGGCUGGCCUGAGUUGCUCACUCAAACGCUGGCGACAAACUCUUAAUUCACAUCGUGUCAUAACACAUGAAACUCCUCAUUCAGAAAGUGUAUAGAGGGUCGAGAGAGAAGACAUAUAUUGACUGGCUCAAUGCGACACACUGAAACACAUCACAAGAACAUCCUCUCACAUUACGAUCCACUUACACUAAAGCAAAGAUGUCAGGCAUAUAAACACCAUCAUAAAUAUCUGCCACACUCACUUUCUAUCACAGAAAAACAGCGGGUGAAACUCGCAGGGGCUUUCACCGUAAAGACGAAAUACCUUAGGUUUUUUUCUCAGAUGCAAAUUUAGAGCUGACCAGCUGCUUUGUUGAUAUGUUUUCACUUUAACUGUAUGCAAAAGUAACAUGGACGUGUGUUAUAUAUUUUUUUAAACCUAGCCUUGAUAAUUACAUAACCAAAGGUGAAACCCUGAAUUUAUUGUAUGUUGUGGACUUCUGGAAAAUGUCGUGAUAUAGAUGCACACUGAAUAGGAUAAAAAAAUGUAAAUAGCAGACAUUUAUACUUGUGUGUCCUAAGAUGUGUUGCAGAUAGAGUAAUUUGAGACUUUUUACUUUCUUUGACUGUUAUGACCAUCGACCAUGCUCAUCUGUGUUUGGUUUGUCCUCGCUGAUACAAUCAUGUUCCUCAUAUUGUUGCAAAUGCUGCUCCAACAUUCUUUGUUGUUUUUGGCCAUUUAUUUUCUUCUUUAUUUUAUUUUUUUUAAUUCACCUUCUCAUUCAUUUGGCAGACUAAAACACGAGGUUGCUGAUGUUGUUUGUGGAGCUUUGUCAGAGAAGCGUUGGACACAGUUACCUCUCUAAGACCUGCGAUGUUGCCCAUGAAUGAAAUGAUUACACGUUGCCAGGUUUUACUUAAGUUUUUGGCAGUAGUUGUGAGAUAGAUGACACAUCCUAAUAAAAAUAGUGUUUUAUUUUCCUAUAUUUCCCUUCAGAAAUCAUCCUUUGACAUACUGUGUUAACUAUAUGGGCACUUGAAUUAAAGCUCUUGGUCCUAGUGUCUUUUUCCUCUACUCCUAAAGAAAAUCCAAAGUUCACGUUCUUGCUCCUUUCCCAAAAUUUCGUAUCUGUAAUUACCUCAAUAAUAGUAUCCCUCAGACCAGCUGUUCACUGAAUGUUCCAGAUGUUUCCGUAGUGUCACAAGAAAACUUGUAACCACAGAAUAGCCACAAUAGUUUUAAAUAGAUGUCAAUAGUUUCUUUAGGGAAUCCUUACGGGGAGGAUGUUUUUUAUUCUUUUGAGGUUUUCAUCUCUGCAUAUCAAAGGUUUACGGAAUACCAGAAUACUCCAGCAGAGCUUCAGGAUUUUUAAAUGUGCAAAGUUUUUGCCUCUUAAAAAGUUACAUGAAAAUAAAAGUCGGAUUGAAAUGAAGAAGAAAAUGUCAGUGGGAGAACAACUCUUUAAAAAUCAAGUUAAUGUAAAGAUGAAGUAUCAGUCCCAUUAGUCAGGGAAUAGAAAAGUAAUAACGGCAAAACAAAUUUUACAGCAAUGUAUGUUUUUGUUUGUUUUGUUUUUGUUUUGUUGAUUUGGCAGAUGAACCGAAUCACCACUAUGAGAUUAAAUACAAACAGUACAGCUCUGUCAUUAACACUUUCUACUACAAACCAGCAGGCAUGAAAUGAAUCUUUAAGGUUGCCAAGACUUCGAUGAGUAGUAUAAACAUGAAGCUACAGCCAGCAACCAGUUAGCUUAGCAUAAAGACAUAUCAGAAUUUUAAAUUUAUCCAUUUGAUAAUUCUGGAUUACGACCUCCAGCAUUUGGAUCAUGUAGUGCGGUACCUGUUGGGUACCUGGCAGGCUCAGGGUGACAACAAGACCUCAAGAACUGUCUUCACACUUUGGCUUUUGUAGGAAUUAAACAAUCGAGAUGUGAAUUGUUGAGCUUUAAAGUUGCCAGCAAGCAAAGGCUGCACGAUAUGAGGAAAAUAUCUGAUGACGUUGUUGAAUAUGGCGACAACAACAGUUCUUGGGAUAAAUUAACAGAUAUUCAUAUGAGCUCAGUUCU
Epinephelus lanceolatus (giant grouper) is the source of this 6939-nucleotide non-coding RNA. The record is from RefSeq and is a predicted model, not a curated record. NCBI's taxonomy places the organism in Eukaryota, Metazoa, Chordata, Actinopteri, Perciformes, Serranidae.